RNAcentral lists this long non-coding RNA (1025 nucleotides) under Pogona vitticeps (central bearded dragon). RNAcentral's name for it is "lncRNA (ENSPVIG00000010767.1)". Lineage: Eukaryota; Metazoa; Chordata; Lepidosauria; Squamata; Agamidae. The record is from RNAcentral.
CCCAGUUCUCUUGGGUCCCCGUCCUUCCUUCUGUCCACCAGCCCGCAUUGGCUCUCAUCCGUGGCGCCAGGCCCUCGGAAGCGAAGGAGGAGGGGAGCCUGCCCACGGGUAGCACAAGCCUGCUGACCACCGACACUUCUCUCCCUGCAGGUGGAGGAGUGGGAGUGCCGCCAGCUGCAGGAAACCGUCCGCCUGGACAGCCUCCCCAGGGAUCCAGCUCCUUAUCGCCUCCUGGAGAAGGAAACCCUAUACCAGUGCUACGACCUCUUUCACCUCCUCCGUCUCCGGACGGCCUAUGUGACCAACCAUCGGGGCCAGCUGGUGGGCGUGGUGGCUCUCAAGGAGCUCAAGGCGGCCAUCGAAGUGUGCGUCAGCGGCACCUUAACCACCAAAUCCCAACAUCAGUCACGCGAGCUGGGAAUCCGGGAACGGAAGCCAUCGGAGGAGGUGGAACUCACAAGCCCCCCAGCAUAAAGUGGGAUGGAGGGGGGGGCAGGCCGUCAGGAGCAACCCCCCCAAAAAAAACCUCCCUGAAAGUCUGUGCAACCUCUUGUCGCGUGGCGUGACUCUUCACCCGCCCAGCCUUGCCCCCGACGGACAACAGACGAUGCCUGAAGGGUGAAAUAGGGUGGGAGACGGAGGCUGCUGCAAGAAAGAAUCACCAGAAAGGGGCAGAUGAUCGACCAACGAGGGGAAGGAGAAGCAUUUGGGAAAACGCAAAGGAUGGGAGUUUUCAGGGAACGUGACAGAGACAGCCUCCAAACCUCCCCGUUUUUUGUUUAGUAUUUUUGAGGACAAAAAACGGUCUCCUGAUGCCAUCUAGAUAGUGUGAGGGACUACUUACUCCCCAGCACCCUCUGGCCGAUGCUCCCUGCCAAAGUUUAAAUUUAAAAGAAUUCACCACUAGAGGGCGAAAGGGGGACUUUCCCAGUACUAAAAAAAAUGUAUAAUUUCUAAAUAUAAAGGGGAAAAUGGGAGUCUGGGAAGGAAAUAAAGCUCUCCAAGGUUCAGAAAAAAUGGUGAUG